RNAcentral lists this ribosomal RNA (906 nucleotides) under Triticum aestivum (bread wheat). RNAcentral's name for it is "partial small subunit ribosomal RNA". The record is from RNAcentral. Lineage: Eukaryota; Viridiplantae; Streptophyta; Magnoliopsida; Poales; Poaceae.
AUGGGUUGCCUGCGGCGCCGGCCGGAGCCGGCGGCCAUCGACAUCUCGUGGGUGUCGUGCCGGGGCGUCAGGUCGUCGCUCCCGUUCCACACGCCGUGCCUCUACGCCUCCGUCUGCGUGACGCCGUCGUCCGCGGGCAAGAACGUCCGCCGCCGCCGCGUCAAGACCCCCACCGACCGCGCCGGCGGCGAGAACCCCGAGUGGGACGAGCGCCUGCGCCUUCCCCUUCCCGACGACGCCUCGCCGGCGUCAGAGCAGGAAGCCGCGGGGAAAAAGAAGGACGGGCACGUUGACCACGACGGCGGUGUCCUUCUCGUUCGGUUCGAGCUCAAGGCCGAGGUGGCCGUCCUCGGCGACGUGCUCGCCGCGUCGGCCGUCGUGCCGCUCUCCGACCUCGUUGCCGACGGCAGGACGCGCCGCGUGUCCUACCAGCUGGCCGCGUCCGAGGACCGCAGGCAGCCCAACGGCGUCAUCUCCUUCUCGUACGCCUUCCACCACGGAAGCACCGUCGACGACGACCAGGAGGACCGCAGCAGCGACGGUGAGCCCGUAUCGCCCGCUAGCCCGGCCCCUCCCCCGCCGCUGCCUCAGUCGACGGGGUCAUCCUCCGGGAUGUACCCCAUGAUAGACUGGGAGCCACUGGACACGGUCACGUGCUCAAGCUACUACGCUCCUCCAGCUUCGUCGGACACUCAGGCGGAGCCGAUUGCGGUCUACCCACCGUUGUCGGAGACGUCGAGCCGUGGAAUUUACCCGACGGUGGGGGAGUCGGAUAGCAGUUUGUACCCCACAGUAGACUUUGCUCCGGUGACCUGUUACCCGCCGAUGACGGCGCCGUACUACUACGGUGGUGAUUUCGGGUGUCCGGCAGCUCCUGCAUGGGACGGGCGAUGUUUGUACGGUUGA